UUGACCUCAAAUCAGGUAGGACUACCCGCUGAACUUAAGCAUAUCAAUAAGCGGAGGAAAAGAAACUAACAAGGAUUCCCCUAGUAACUGCGAGUGAAGCGGGAAAAGCUCAAAUUUAAAAUCUGGCAGCUGUAUGGCUGUCCGAGUUGUAAUCUAGAGAAGUGCUUUCCGCGUUGGACCGUGUACAAGUCUCUUGGAACAGAGCGUCAUAGAGGGUGAGAAUCCCGUCUUUGACACGGACUGCCAGUGCUUAUGUGAUGCGCUCUCAAAGAGUCGA
Molecule: ribosomal RNA, 277 nt
Filed under: Hygrophorus olivaceoalbus
Lineage: Eukaryota; Fungi; Basidiomycota; Agaricomycetes; Agaricales; Hygrophoraceae
Description: partial 28S ribosomal RNA
Rfam family: Eukaryotic large subunit ribosomal RNA
Source: RNAcentral